This 1365-nucleotide ribosomal RNA is filed under the name uncultured bacterium. RNAcentral's name for it is "bacterial SSU rRNA". It matches the Rfam family "Bacterial small subunit ribosomal RNA", at positions 28 to 1381 of the family's 1533-position model. The record is from RNAcentral.
AUUGAACGCUGGCGGCAGGCCUAACACAUGCAAGUCGAACGGUAACAGGAAGAAGCUUGCUUCUUUGCUGACGAGUGGCGGACGGGUGAGUAAUGUCUGGGAAACUGCCUGAUGGAGGGGGAUAACUACUGGAAACGGUAGCUAAUACCGCAUAACGUCGCAAGACCAAAGAGGGGGACCUUCGGGCCUCUUGCCAUCGGAUGUGCCCAGAUGGGAUUAGCUUGUUGGUGGGGUAACGGCUCACCAAGGCGACGAUCCCUAGCUGGUCUGAGAGGAUGACCAGCCACACUGGAACUGAGACACGGUCCAGACUCCUACGGGAGGCAGCAGUGGGGAAUAUUGCACAAUGGGCGCAAGCCUGAUGCAGCCAUGCCGCGUGUAUGAAGAAGGCCUUCGGGUUGUAAAGUACUUUCAGCGGGGAGGAAGGGAGUAAAGUUAAUACCUUUGCUCAUUGACGUUACCCGCAGAAGAAGCACCGGCUAACUUCCGUGCCAGCAGCCGCGGUAACACGGAGGGUGCAAGCGUUAAUCGGAAUUACUGGGCGUAAAGCGCACGCAGGCGGUUUGUUAAGUCAGAUGUGAAAUCCCCGGGCUCAACCUGGGAACUGCAUCUGAUACUGGCAAGCUUGAGUCUCGUAGAGGGGGGUAGAAUUCCAGGUGUAGCGGUGAAAUGCGUAGAGAUCUGGAGGAAUACCGGUGGCGAAGGCGGCCCCCUGGACGAAGACUGACGCUCAGGUGCGAAAGCGUGGGGGAGCAAACAGGAUUAGAUACCCUGGUAGUCCACGCCGUAAACGAUGUCGACUUGGAGGUUGUGCCCUUGAGGCGUGGCUUCCGGAGCUAACGCGUUAAGUCACCGCCUGGGGAGUACGGCCGCAAGGUUAAAACUCAAAUGAAUUGACGGGGGCCCGCACAAGCGGUGGAGCAUGUGGUUUAAUUCGAUGCAACCGCGAAGAACCUUACCUGGUCUUGACAUCCACGGAAGUUUUCAGAGAUGAGAAUGUGCCUUCGGGAACCGUGAGACAGGUGCUGCAUGGCUGUCGUCAGCUCGUGUUGUGAAAUGUUGGGUUAAGUCCCGCAACGAGCGCAACCCUUAUCCUUUGUUGCCAGCGGUCCGGCCGGGAACUCAAAGGAGACUGCCAGUGAUAAACUGGAGGAAGGUGGGGAUGACGUCAAGUCAUCAUGGCCCUUACGACCAGGGCUACACACGGGCUACAAUGGCGCAUACAAAGAGAAGCGACCUCGCGAGAGCAAGCGGACCUCAUAAAGUGCGUCGUAGUCCGGAUUGGAGUCUGCAGCUCGACUCCAUGAAGUCGGAAUCGCUAGUAAUCGUGGAUCAGAAUGCCACGGUGAAUACGUUCCCGGGCCU